Molecule: ribosomal RNA, 497 nt
Filed under: uncultured bacterium
Lineage: Bacteria
Description: partial 16S ribosomal RNA
Rfam family: Bacterial small subunit ribosomal RNA
Source: RNAcentral
GAUGUACGCUGGCGGCGUGCCUAAUACAUGCAAGUCGAGCGAACGGACGAGAAGCUUGCUUCUCUGAUGUUAGCGGCGGACGGGUGAGUAACACGUGGAUAACCUACCUAUAAGACUGGGAUAACUUCGGGAAACCGGAGCUAAUACCGGAUGAUAUUUUGAACCGCAUGGUUCAAAUGUGAAAGACGGUCUUGCUGUCACUUAUAGAUGGAUCCGCGCUGCAUUAGCUAGUUGGUAAGGUAACGGCUUACCAAGGCAACGAUGCAUAGCCGACCUGAGAGGGUGAUCGGCCACACUGGAACUGAGACACGGUCCAGACUCCUACGGGAGGCAGCAGUAGGGAAUCUUCCGCAAUGGGCGAAAGCCUGACGGAGCAACGCCGCGUGAGUGAUGAAGGUCUUCGGAUCGUAAAACUCUGUUAUUAGGGAAGAACAUAUGUGUAAGUAACUGUGCACAUCUUGACGGUACCUAAUCAGAAAGCCACGGCUAACUACGUG